CGGAGCUAACCCUUGCUCCUACGUCCACUCCCCAAGCCUCACUUGGGAAUUCACUAUAACCCCUCGGAUUACAGCCGGUUGUUUUACAAGCUCACAACCAAACUUGUUGUUUUACGAGGUCACAACGAACUCGGUCGGUUUUCCCAGGCUCACCGACUAGAACCACCCCGAUUGUUUUCCCGGGAUCACAAUCGAACCCUUACACGUUGGUUUCAACCUAGGCUCACCAACAAACCUAUAUACCCUUGAUUCAGUCCCCUGAUUGAAUCAAGUAAG
Molecule: long non-coding RNA, 276 nt
Filed under: Phoenix dactylifera (date palm)
Lineage: Eukaryota; Viridiplantae; Streptophyta; Magnoliopsida; Arecales; Arecaceae
Description: long non-coding RNA (PDAC_LNC011300)
Source: RNAcentral